UGGACCAGCUAGGACUUGAACCUAAGACCUUCCAUACGCUACUAGAGUGCUCUACCACUGACCUAUUGGCCC
Molecule: transfer RNA, 72 nt
Filed under: Cryptomeria japonica (Japanese cedar)
Lineage: Eukaryota; Viridiplantae; Streptophyta; Pinopsida; Cupressales; Cupressaceae
Description: tRNA-Ala
Source: RNAcentral